AUUGAACGCUGGCGGCAGGCUUAACACAUGCAAGUCGAACGAGUGGCGGACGGGUGAGUAAUGUCUGGGAAACUGCCUGAUGGAGGGGGAUAACUACUGGAAACGGUAGCUAAUACCGCAUACCAUCGGAUGUGCCCAGAUGGGAUUAGCUAGUAGGUGGGGUAACGGCUCACCUAGGCGACGAUCCCUAGCUGGUUUGAGAGGAGGACCAGCCACACUGGAACGGAGACACGGCCCAGACUCCUACGGGAGGCAGCAGUGGGGAAGAGUGCACAAUGGGCGCAAGCCUGAUGCAGCCAUGCCGCGUGUAUGAAGAAGGCCUUCGGGUUGUAAAGUACUUUCAGCGGAGAGGCGUUACCCGCAGAAGAAGCACCGGCUAACUCCGUGCCAGCAGCCGCGGUAAUUC
Molecule: ribosomal RNA, 406 nt
Filed under: uncultured bacterium
Lineage: Bacteria
Description: partial 16S ribosomal RNA
Rfam family: Bacterial small subunit ribosomal RNA
Source: RNAcentral